RNAcentral lists this microRNA (24 nucleotides) under Brachypodium distachyon (stiff brome). RNAcentral describes it as "bdi-miR7758-3p". The record is from miRBase by way of RNAcentral. Lineage: Eukaryota; Viridiplantae; Streptophyta; Magnoliopsida; Poales; Poaceae.
UAGCGGUCAACUAACUGUAGUGGC